Molecule: RNA transcript, 5474 nt
Organism: Bemisia tabaci
Lineage: Eukaryota; Metazoa; Arthropoda; Insecta; Hemiptera; Aleyrodidae
Gene: CycG
Gene name: cyclin G
Source: RefSeq, a predicted model, not a curated record
CAGGAGUUGAGCAAUGGCCGUAUGAUUUCUCCUGUCGCUACCUUUUUGUUCCAUCUUUUAUUAGUUAUUUUAAAGUUAUAUUAGGUCCGUGAUAGUAGGUUUUAGUCUGUAUUGACAAAAUUAAUAUGCAUUUAGUUUCUGUUAGUACGUCGCAUUAUAUUACCCGGAGAAUUCUUUAUAUUUAAAUUUGUUGGCCUAUUUUGUUAGCAAAGCCAUUUACUUGAUCCUCCAUUACCGUUAAAUUUUCGGUUUAGUCUUACCUAUUUUAAACGUUUGUGGUGCGAGUUUUACCAAUUUUGUGAUCCUAAGUGAAAAAUACCGGAUUCGCUCUCUCACGGUGAUCAUUUUCGUGAUCGUUUAUUUUUGUAUGCGUUCAAAGUUCGUUAUCCUUCCGAGUCCUUUGUUUCCUUAUCCCAAGCUCAUCCGGAGUAGGGACCUAUGUUCUAAAUUAGUAAGAAAGUUUCAUUUUUACGGCUCGGAAAAUCGGGACGCGAAGAUGAAUUCAACUCCUAAAAACUACAGUUUACUGUGAAACUCGAAGCGUGCUACGAUCCCCGGCUUCUCAGUUCAAUUGUUCAUCUAUGGUGUGUGGCGAAGAUGAAUAAUGCCAUGUUGCCUGAAGCUUUAAAACCUCUGGUGGCAGAGCUGCAAGAGGCAUUGGCUUUGGAGCAUAAAUUUGUGCCAAACUUACAGUUGAUCUCAGUCAGCCAGGAGGGAGGCGAUAUAACCAAUGGGAUCCGAGAUGGCUCUGCUCAUGUCUUACGAUGUCUGAAAGUUUGGUACGAUUUACCAGCAGAUGUUCUUUUCACCGCCAUUAAUUAUAUGGAUUGCUUCUUGACAAAGAUGAGAGUCAAACCUAAAUUUAUGGCCUGCAUCUCUGUUGCGUGUUUCCAACUAGCCUGCACAGUUGUUCCCGGAGUCACUGUGCCAGAUGCUACAGACUUAGUUAGCAUUUCGCAGUGCAAAUGCUCUGCAAGUGAUCUAGCCCGUAUGCAGUCGAUCAUCUCCUCUAAGCUUGGAAUACAUCCAGAUAGGCCACCUAUCACAUCAGCUACUUUACUUCGAUUAUAUCAUAAGUUAUUCACAGCUGUCGAUGCGAGCGGCCUUUAUUCACGUGUUGUGGAAGAAUCAAGCUUACAUCAGCAUCUUGAGAUAAUCGCAUGUGACACCUCUUGCGCAAAUUUUAGGCCCAGUGAAAUAGCUCUGGUUUUAAUCUGUUCACAAAUGGAUCUCGGCGUGGCACGCUUAUCUACUCCUCAUCCAAUGAUCACAACACUAAUGACUUUUGCAACCAACUUACAACACCUUUGCAAGAUAACAGAAUCUAAUUUUUAUCGGUGCCAUGAAGCAGUUUUGUGUAUAAUGCAGAGGUAUCACGCUCAAGUACAAAUGCCAUACCGGCAAAGACUAGUCUGGAGGCUAUCUCAAAGAACACUUCAGUACCUUCGUCCCACUGACAAAUUGACUAUGACUUUACCGACUAUUGACGAACACGGUCAGCUACAACUCCCAGUUUGCGCCAGGAACAAGCCUCGAAUGACUGAAGAAUGGGAAUACUUGAGGAAGUACAAGAAACUGGAAAGGAGGUGGCGGUGUGUUGGAAUGUCAACUAAAUACCUCGGUCCUCCUUAAGUUAUUCUUUCAAGAAGCUUUUUUCAUUGAUCUCUCUAUAUACUCCCUUAGUAAUUUUCUGAUGAUUCUUUAGCUGUCUCCAAGGUUUUGUUACAAUGGAUGGACCGGUGUGGCUCUGGCUGCAGCUGGGAUGACAACAAAUGUUCCUUUUGAUUAAAUUUUUAAAGAAGUAUUAAUUUUCAAAUUCCUCCUACGAUAACUCAGUUGAAGAUGAAAAGAAAAGUAAGGAAAGCUUAUUGUAUUAAACUGUAAAUACAAAAUCCCCAUCUUAAUUUAUUAUUAUUUAUUUAUUUAUUUUAUUUUUUAAUUUAUUUCUUUGUUUAGUUGCUCUGAACUCAAAUUAUUUAUUUCUCUUUCAUCAUAUACUCAUUUCAUAUACGUCUAUUUAUAACAUGUGUCAAUUUUUCAAUAUAGAUGUAUAUUCUAUUACUGGAUAUUUUUUUUUCUUAGGUAUGUUCUUUUCUUUUCUUUUCUUUUAAUUUUAUUUUUAUUUUUUUAACUUGAAUAUGAAAACGAAGGCAUCAAGUGAAUAUUAUUAUGAAUAUUUCUAAAUAAUUUAUAAUUUUAAAGUUCGUGAUUCAUCAAAAAUUUUAAAUUUUAUCCAUUUCGCUGUGAAUUUGUCUAGUUAUAAGUCUUAGCAAUGUAAAAUUUAUUUAAAUGAAGAUUUUGCAAUGUUUUUGAAGCGGCAUAAUUUGAGAUAGGUGUAUAAUCAAUUUUAUGUGUACAAAUUACCUUAAAUUAUGUAAAUUAUCGAAUCGUGCUUAUUAAGAUGAUACAUUUUACUGUUCGAUUCCUUUGCUUUGACUUUAAAUCUCUGUUAUCCCAAAAAGUGUCGCUCUCCUGUCUGGAGGCUCCAGAAUUUCAGUUAUUUCUUGUUAAAUUUUUUCAAAUUCUAUCUGCUGUAAAUCUAGUGAGCAAAGCUCUGCCAAAAAAUUUCCAAGUCUAAGGAGCACUUAGGCAUGUAUAUAUCUAUGUGAAAAUUUGACAAGCUUUUAAAUCUUGGAAAUGGAUAAAUGUGACGGUUUCUAAAAAUACAUUUGAGGUCAAAAUGUGUUAGACUCGGAAGAUAAACGUUUUUUGUCAACAUUAACAGGCCAUUCUGUCAAAUCCGUGAAUUAAAACGUUUCAAAUCUUUUUAAUUGUGUCUAUUCAAAGGAAGUAAAUAAGUCUAUUGCUCUCAGCAUGAUUUGCUGAAGUUCUAAGAAAAAGAAAAUCGUCAGCCUUAUUUCAAUAUGAAUGAAUUAUUGAAUUGUUUCUUAGCCGUAUCUUAAGGUUCAUAAGUCUUAAACAUUAUUUCAGCCAGUAGUGAAUCAUAAUCUGAAAGCAAUCUUGGCCAUAAUUCAUUCUAGAGCAUUUUGCCGUGCCGAACAGUGAAUGGAACAGCUUCAGCACAAAUUCGGCGAUUCUGUGAGUUGGUGUGGACGGUGCGGGGCACAGAAUAAGCAUGUGUUGUGCGGUGUGGCAGAGCUAGCUCUAAAGACUGUUUUUAGAUCCUGAGCCAAAAAAAACUUGGCUCCACUAGGGCAGUAGUGUAGGGUAGAUUAGUGCGUAUGCACUGUGAAGCGGGAGUUAUGCAUGGAAAAAUUAAGCAGUCCACACCGCUUGAACAUACGCCUGUAUGCUUGUUUACUGUGAAGCGCAGCAAUUUGCUCUAGUCUGGAUGCAGCUUUGGAUGAAGCACUUAUCGUCAGUGUCAGAAAUCAUCAUGUUCAAAUAUUCUUGUUUUUCAAGUAGGACAUUUUCUCAUCAGUAGCUGCCCAAGGAGGAACAAAAUGAAUGUUUGUGAAAUGAAAUUUGAAUCAAUUUUACUGGUCUUAAAUCGAAUUUAAAGAUCUCCAAAUCCCUCAUGUUCUGCAUUGUAAAUUGGCAUAUUACCAGCAUCACUAUUCUGUUCCCUGCAUCUUCAAUUUUCUUUUAUCUCAUUUUUUACUUUUGACCACUGUGAAUUUUACCAUACUGUUGGUAUCCUAUCCCGAGUGGUCAUUGAUUCAAAUAAGGUUGAGGAUUAAUGGUCAUGAUGAUUUAACAAACUACAAUAGAUUUAAAGUUAGAUCUAUGUUUUAAAUACUACAGUAAUAUUGCUGGCACUCUUGAAUUCAAUGUAACUCAAGAAUUUGUUUUGUUUGUUUCCGUUUCUUAUUUUUUGUCUACCUGCUUUCAACAAUUUUGGCAAGAUAACCAGUUAGUGUCUAAAUUGUAUUGCUAUGAUCUCAAUGGGCAAAUCUUGGUGGAAACAUUUGCGUUUUUAGAAACUGAAUCUGUACCCAAGCUGCAUCAAUCGCAUUUGCAUGUUUUUGAUGUAAUUUAUUCUCAUCAAUCUCUAGACCAUGAAUGGCAUGAACCAUCAUCAGUGCAACAUUGAGAAAUCAUUCAUGGGAAAAAUUUUUAAUACCAAGGUUAAAUCUGUCGUAAAAAGCUCUCGUGAAGGAAUAUAGGUUGUCUCUUAGCCUUUACUUUCUCGUGUAAAGCCAGGUUUUGGGACCAUUAAACUUUGAAAGGUUGUUGGAUACUAUAUGAUUUCCCAGAAACCAAUAAGCACACUAAGAAUCGUCUCUUAACUCGUGUAUUUAUUUACAAAUUUUCUUGGAAUCUUGAUUUCCAACUGUAGUAUUUGUGAUCUUGUCUUUUAAUGGACGCUUAAUGUUUAAUACCGUCUCUGACCAUUCAUUGUAAUGUAUGACAACUGACACUCAGGCUUUAAUUCUGCAGCGCACCAAUAGCUCCCCAGUUGUGUAUUUCAAAUUCUAUUACUCCAAGGAACCUAACAGGUAUCCCUGUAUCCGUAGAUGUUUUUCUCUUCUGUUCUCUGUUUGUAUUUUUAUUUUAUUUUUUUUAUCUUGCAUCAGUAGAUAUCGGUUACUUUUUAAAUUCUCUGUCUGCAGCCUUAUCUAUUUACUGUACAAGACAAGUCAGAGAGCCAAAAAUCUUCUCAUGGACUUCCUUUCGUCCUUCUUUAUGUUUUUUUCUAUUUUCUGGAAACCUUAAGCAACCAAAAACUUACAUACUUUUCAAAAAAUUAUCUUUUCACUUGCCCAUUAGUUUUUACUGAUUGGUAUUCAUCUUAUAUUUAUUUAUUUAUGUAGUUAUCUUUUCAUUGAUUUAUCUAUCUGUUUAUUAUUUUAAAGUAUUUUAACUCUUUUGUUAAAUUUUUCCAAAUCUUUUAUUUCCUAAAUCACCCAAAUUAGUUUUCGGAUCAAAUAUUUCUUACCUUUGCCAUCUUUACACUAUUUUUUUCUACUGAAGCCCCAAAUGCAUUUGCUUCUAUUUAUAUAAUUUGUCAUAAUGAAGGAAAUUUUCUACUGAAUUAUGUCAGCCAAAGCAUUUUUAUCUUCAAUCAAAUGCCCUAUCCCUUGGUUUGUUUUCAUUUUUCAUUUCAUUUAUUUUAUUUAUUUUUUUUUUUUAAAGAAAAAAAAAUGUGUUACUUUUUUUGAGAAGAGAGUAUUUAUUUAUCCAAUUUUUUAUAAACCCAUCAAAAAUAUUAUAUUAUUUAUAUGUAAAUUAUCUUCAACCCUUCUUUUCUUUGAAGUCACCUAUUUGUAUGAAUAUAGAAUGUUCGCAUUUUAACUAUUGUAUAAAAUCAUUUUUUAAUAGUAGGAAUCAAUUUAAUUUUUUUCUCCUCAUUUUAUACCAAUGAUAAAAAUUUAUUUUAAAAUUAUCGUAGUUCAUAUUAAAAUUUCAGUUAUAAGAUCAACUACUUCUAUCAUUUAGUGUAGAAACUUAAUCAUUAAUUGCUGAAUUGAAUUAGUAUCUUGAUCACACUCAAAUGAACAUUACAUCCUUGUCGCAAUGUACCUUACCCCGUGUAUUUUAUAAGAUAAAUAAAACCAAUUUUUGUAAUUUUU